GAUGAAGAACGAAGUGAAAUGCGAUAAGUAGUGUGAAUUGCAGAAUUCAGUGAAUCAUCGAAUCUUUGAACGCACAUUGCGCCCCUUGGUAUCCCGAGGGGCAUGCCUGUUCGAGCGUCAUUUCACCACUCAAGCCUGGCUUGGUGUUGGGCGACGUCCCCUUUGGGGACGCGCCUCGAAACGCUCGGCGGCGUGGCACCGGCUUUAAGCGUAGCAGAAUCUUUCGCUUUGGAAGUCGGGGCCCCGUCUGCCGGAAGACCUACUCGCAAGGUUGACCUCGGAUCAGGGAGGGAUACCCGCUGAACUUAAGCAUAUCAAUAAGCGGAGGA
This 329-nucleotide unclassified non-coding RNA is filed under the name soil metagenome. RNAcentral's name for it is "partial contains 5.8S ribosomal RNA, internal transcribed spacer 2, and large subunit ribosomal RNA". The stretch from base 1 to 120 matches the Rfam family "5.8S ribosomal RNA", at positions 35 to 154 of the family's 154-position model. The record is from RNAcentral.